AUUGAACGCUGGCGGCAGGCCUAACACAUGCAAGUCGAGCGGAUGAAGGGAGCUUGCUCCUGGAUUCAGCGGCGGACGGGUGAGUAAUGCCUAGGAAUCUGCCUGGUAGUGGGGGAUAACGUCCGGAAACGGGCGCUAAUACCGCAUACGUCCUGAGGGAGAAAGUGGGGGGUCUUCGGACCUCACGCUAUCAGAUGAGCCUAGGUCGGAUUAGCUAGUUGGUGGGGUAAAGGCCUACCAAGGCGACGAUCCGUAACUGGUCUGAGAGGAUGAUCAGUCACACGGGAACUGAGCCACGGUCCAGACUCCUACGGGAGGCAGCAGUGGGGAAUAUUGGACAAUGGGCGAGAGCCUGAUCCAGCCAUGCCGCGUGUGUGAAGAAGGUCUUCGGAUUGUAAAGCACUUUAAGUUGGGAGGAAGGGCAGUAAGUUGAUACCUUGCUGUUUUGACGUUACCAACAGAAUAAGCACCGGCUAACUUCGUG
Molecule: ribosomal RNA, 484 nt
Filed under: uncultured bacterium
Lineage: Bacteria
Description: partial 16S ribosomal RNA
Rfam family: Bacterial small subunit ribosomal RNA
Source: RNAcentral